GAGUUCGAAAUCAAGGUGGGGAAAGCCUUUUCCCUCUAGAAGCGCUCCAACGGGCACGCAGCAGCCUCGGCUCCGGGGGCGCUUGCUGCCUGCCGCUGGGGCCGCGUGUCACCCUUGCAACCGCCCCCAAGUGCGUACUAAGGACGUCCCGGCCUGCCUUCCGGGGAACCGCGGCUCGGAGCGCCGCAGGGGCUGGUCGAGGGCCCGCGGGGCGCAGGGCUAGGCGCCCGGCGCAUUCUCCGCGUCCUCCAGCAGAGGGGCCGGCCGGCGGCCCGCAUAAUAGCCGCCUUGAUGCCCGCGGCCGGCAGCGGGAGGGGAGGCGGGCGGGGCGGGCGGGCAGGAGGGUGUGUCCGGCCGCCGCGCAGCCCUCCGCCCUCGUCCCUCGCCACCCGCCGCCGGAGCUCGGACCAGGCGCCUGGCGCUCUUCGUCCGUCGCCGCGGCCGCGCAGCCCGGAGCCGGCGGGAGCCUCGUGUUCACGAUGUCGGUCGCGCUCAGCAACAGGUUCCAAGGAGUUUCUCUGUGACCAGAAGUACAGUGAUGAAGAGAACCUGCCCGAAAAGCUUGCAGCCUUCAAAGAGAAGUACAUGGAGUUUGACCUGAACAACGAGGGCGAGAUUGAGCACUGCCCAGUUUUCUUUGAAACGCCCUGGACAUCCUGGCACCUAGGGUCUGGCACCAGUCCUGCCCACCUCACCACUUGGACCUCAUGUCUUUAAAGAGGAUGAUGGAGAAGCUUGGGGUCCCCAAAACACACCUGGAGAUGAAGAAGAUGAUCUCGGAGGUGACAGGUGGGGUCAGCGACACCAUCUCCUACCGAGACUUUGUGAACGUGAUGCUAGGGAAACGGUCAGCUGUCCUCAAGCUAGUCAUGAUGUUUGAAGGAAAAGCCAACGGGAGCAGCCCCAAGCCAGCUGGCCCCCCUCCAGAGAGAGACAUUGCCAGCCUGCCCUGAGGACCCCUGCCUGGACCCGCCCCUGCCCUCCCUUCCCUUGUCGACUCACUGUGAUCUAUCUUUGUUUUGCUUGGUUGUUUUGCAUUUGUUUGUGGGCUUUUCAUCAGCAGAAUCAGUGAUCUCUGUGUAAAGCACAAAUUAUCUGCCUUAAAGGGGCUCUGGGUUAGGGAUCCUGAGCCUGGGUUACCCUCCCUCCCGCUUCCCUCCUUCCCCCCUCCCUGUGCAGAAGGGCUGACAUCAAACCAAAAACCCAAAGGGGCAGGGACGGGGAAGGGGGAAGCCUGUGAUCCCCACCCUUGGAGCUGGCACCAUCAUCCUGCCAGCAGGUCUCGGAGCUAAGUGCAAGCUCAAUGGCCUGGCUCUGGUGAGGAUCUCAGCCCAUCUGCAGAAGGCCCUGGAGUAGGCACACGUCUGCAGGGCCUUCUUAGGGUUUUCUUGGAGAGCUCUGUGGUCCCGUGCUCCUGGGCUGCCCAGGAUGUGGCUGCCCAGUGUCCCACAUCCCCAGCUAAUCCCCCUUCAGUCCACACUUCUCAUCCUCAGUGAAGUGAUGGAGAGGAGAGAGGCUUGGCAAUUUGAGUGCUUCAAGAAUGUUCCAGAAGUAAUCCUGUGGCCUUGCCAUCCCAGCUACGGCUUUACAGGCAGCUCAGUGGGCAGGUGCAGCCCCCUGUCCCUUGGCUGGGGCAGCAAAAGGCUUUGGAGACAGUGGAGGCCAGAGGCCUUGGGGCUGUGGUGGUCAGCUCAUCUCAUGCUGCCUUUUUGGGAGGAUGCCAAGGGCAAGAGGAUCGGAGAAAGGAACAAACUGCUCAUGACAAAAAGAGUCAGCACCACUGUCAAGCCAAGAGCUGGAAAUCAGGAGUUUGCCCUUCUGAUCCCAAUCUGCUCAAAACCCAACUGCACUUUGCCUGCCACCUUGUGUCGGCCAUUCAUUCAUUCAUUCAUUGAGUUAUUCAGCAGAUAUUUAUUGACCAUCUAUUAUAAGCUUUAAGUUCUUCCAACUUUGUCCUGACAUGUGCUGUGUCCACUGUCUCUCUCUCUCAUCUGUCCAUUUCCAAUCGCCCAAAACCUUGAGCUUGGGAAUUAGAUUAGGGUCACCAGUGUCCUGUACUAUGGACUCACGGGGUUUUAGAGCCCUGAUCCACUCUGUAGGUUAGCUGGGCCAGUCCUCUCAUUUCACACGUGAGGAAACUGUUGACCUACAGGGAUUAAGUGCCUUGUCCAAAGGUGGGGUUAACCUAGAGAUGGAAAAGUCUGGACUGGAGCCCAGGGGUUUAGAUGCCCUGUCAAUGCCUCAUCUCCGGUUUGGGCUACUUCAGUCAGUGAUGAAAUCAAGGGAAGGGGCAGGGAGGGGGCGAUCUCCGAGGUCAACACUUGGGGAAGGCCCUGGGGCCAGACUCACCCUCCCCUGUGCCUCCAGGGCAGCCUCAGGAUUUGGGUGAGGGCCAGGCCUGCCUCUGCAGUUCUGCCUUCUCUAGACCUUCAUGGCCAAGGCAUGUCUUAGAACUUGCACAGGAAAGUGUCAUAUUCAGCCCCAUCUUGGCUGAGCAGGGACCCCAGCCUUGACCCCUCCUGUGUUCUGGAGUCCCUUACCCUGCCCACUCAGGAUUCCGAUGCACCCAUCCAUUAUUUCAUAUUUAUUAACCACCAGGAGUGAAAUGGACAGACUCAUGGAAUUCAGAGACUAGUGGAGAAGUCAGACCCAGAAAAUGACAGUGAGAUGAAUGUUAGGAAAAGGGCCUAUGGGGCAGCUGCACUGCAAUCCUGGGAGGUCUAACUGGGCCCAAGCCUGAGGAAGAGCUUGGAGACGCCUUCACCAAACCUUAAGUGGGAAGGUCUGGGUGCUGUUGGAGGUUGGAGCCAGUGUGGUCUCCCUGCAGUCCAUUAGCUGACCCAUAAUCAAGGGCCCAAGGAGCUGUUCGUACAGCAGUUUGACGGUGUGGAGCAGAUAGGGGAUGGGGAAAUGGCCAGGUUGGGUCAAUCUGCUUGUCCCAACCGGUUCAGGAACAAGAUUAUUCAGCCAUGACUUGCUGAUCUUCAACCUAAGGAGCUGCUUCAAAUGCACAGAGCCAGUUGAAGUCUAAAUCCCAGCAAAACAUUUCUCCCUGUAAAAGUAAAAUCUCACCCCACCCCCUCUCCUG
Molecule: RNA transcript, 3088 nt
Organism: Manis pentadactyla (Chinese pangolin)
Lineage: Eukaryota; Metazoa; Chordata; Mammalia; Pholidota; Manidae
Gene: AIF1L
Gene name: allograft inflammatory factor 1 like
Exons: 6
Source: RefSeq, a predicted model, not a curated record